RNAcentral lists this ribosomal RNA (395 nucleotides) under uncultured bacterium. RNAcentral describes it as "partial 16S ribosomal RNA". It matches the Rfam family "Bacterial small subunit ribosomal RNA", at positions 523 to 918 of the family's 1533-position model. The record is from RNAcentral.
AUACGUAGGGUGCAAGCGUUAAUCGGAAUUACUGGGCGUAAAGCGUGCGCAGGCGGUUUUGUAAGACAGUGGUGAAAUCCCCGGGCUCAACCUGGGGACUGCCAUUGUGACUGCAGGGCUGGAGUGCGGCAGAGGGGGAUGGAAUUCCGCGUGUAGCAGUGAAAUGCGUAGAUAUGCGGAGGAACACCGAUGGCGAAGGCAAUCCCCUGGGCCUGCACUGACGCUCAUGCACGAAAGCGUGGGGAGCAAACAGGAUUAGAUACCCUGGUAGUCCACGCCCUAAACGAUGUCAACUGGUUGUUGGGGAUUUAUUUUCUCAGUAACGAAGCUAACGCGUGAGGUUGACCGCCUGGGGAGUACGGCCGCAAGGUUAAAACUCAAAGGAAUUGACGGGG